UAGGGAAUAUUAGAAAUGGACGAAAGUCUGAUCUAGAAACACCGCGUGUGCGAAGAAGGCCUUCGGGUUGUAAAGCACUUUUUGGAAGGAUUAGGAAGGAAUGUACUUCCAGAAUAAGUCUCGGCUAACUACGUGCCAGCAGCAGCGGUAACACGUAGGAGGCAAACGUUAUCCGGAUUUACUGGGCGUAAAGCGCGUGUAGGUGGUUCUGUAAGUAGGGCGUGAAAGCUCCUGGCUCAACUGGGAGAGGCCGUUCUAAACUGCAGAGCUAGAGGAUGGUAGAGGGAGGUGGAAUUCCGGGUGUAGCGGUGGAAUGCGCAGAUAUCCGGAGGAACACCAGUGGCGAAAGCGGCCUCCUGGACCAUUCCUGACACUCAGACGCGAAAGCUAGGGUAGCAAACG
Molecule: ribosomal RNA, 402 nt
Filed under: uncultured prokaryote
Description: bacterial SSU rRNA
Rfam family: Bacterial small subunit ribosomal RNA
Source: RNAcentral